CUAAUUUUUAAUACCGUUAUCGAUAAAACAAUUUCUCUGCAGACCCAAAUAAAAAUAUGAAACUGUACAAUAUUGCCUGUUAUAAUAAUAUAUAUGCUAUACAAUCGUUUGUAUUUUAUACACCAUACCGAAAUAGCCAAACAAAAUAACGAGUUUCCAAUCGUAUUGUCAGAGAAAAAUUCAACGAAUGUUUUCCCAGGCAUUUUGUAACAAUUAAAAAACGUGCCCGGAAAACGAUUUAAACUUCCGUAUAUUAUGUUUUCCGCCCUUUUAUCCCCACAAGAAGAGUACCGCACACCGCCCGUGCAAAGAUUUCUUUCCUUCUUCUUCGUCAUGGCAGAAUUAUUAGCACUGGUGUAAUUUUCGGCACAACGAUCAUUCUAGUCUUACGAACUGACUAGUACACAUUGUUGGUCGACGUG
Molecule: non-coding RNA, 422 nt
Organism: Cinara cedri
Lineage: Eukaryota; Metazoa; Arthropoda; Insecta; Hemiptera; Aphididae
Source: the annotation of a GenBank genome assembly